Molecule: unclassified non-coding RNA, 433 nt
Filed under: soil metagenome
Description: partial contains 5.8S ribosomal RNA, internal transcribed spacer 2, and large subunit ribosomal RNA
Rfam family: 5.8S ribosomal RNA (bases 1-120)
Source: RNAcentral
GAUGAAGAACGUAGUGAAAUGCGAUACGUAAUGUGAAUUGCAGAAUUCAGUGAAUCAUCGAAUCUUUGAACGCAUAUUGCGCUCUCUGGUAUUCCGGAGAGCAUGCCUGUUUGAGUAUCAGUAAACACCUCAACUUCCAUAUCUUUUUUGAAAUGGGAGUUGGACUUGAGUGAUCCCAACGCUUUUCCUCACCGAAAAGUGGCGGGUUACUUGAAAUGCAGGUGCAGCUGGACUUUUCUCUGAGCUAUAAGCAUAUCUAUUUAGUCUGCCUAAAAAACAGAUUAUUACCUUUGCUGCAGCUAACAUAAAGGAGAUUAGUUCUUGUGCUGACUGAUGCAGGAUUCACAAAGACAGGCUUCGGCCGACUUUGUAAACUCGAUCUCAAAUCAAGUAAGACUACCCGCUGAACUUAAGCAUAUCAAUAAGCGGAGGA